AUGCUUACUGACACGCUAUAUACAGGGGGUACCGGCACAGAGUCAAUGUGGAGGCUAUAUACAGGGGGUACCGGCACAGAGUCAAUGUGGAGGCUAUAUACAGGGGGUACCGGCACAGAGUCAAUGUGGAGGCUAUAUACAGGGGGUACCGGCACAGAGUCAAUGUGGAGGCUAUAUACAGGGGGUACCGGCACAGAGUCAAUGUGGAGGCUAUAUACAGGGGGUACCGGUACAGAGUCAAUGUGGAGGCUAUAUACAGGGGGUACCGAUACAGAGUCAAUGUGGAGGCUAUAUACAGGGGGUACCGGCACAGAGUCAAUGUGGAGGCUAUAUACAGGGGGUACCGGUACAGAGUCAAUGUGGAGGCUAUAUACAGGGGGUACCGGUACAGAGUCAAUGUGGAGGCUAUAUACAGGGGGUACCGGUACAGAGUCAAUGUGGAGGCUAUAUACAGGGGGUACCGGUACAGAGUCAAUGUGGAGGCUAUAUACAGGGGGUACCGGUACAGAGUCAAUGUGGAGGCUAUAUACAGGGGGUACCGGUACAGAGUCAAUGUGGAGGCUAUAUACAGGGGGUACCGGUACAGAGUCAAUGUGGAGGCUAUAUACAGGGGGUACCGGUACAGAGUCAAUGUGGAGGCUAUAUACAGGGGGUACCGGUACAGAGUCAAUGUGGAGGCUAUAUACAGGGGGUACCGGUACAGAGUCAAUGUGGAGGCUAUAUACAGGGGGUACCGGUACAGAGUCAAUGUGGAGGCUAUAUACAGGGGGUACCGGAGACAGGUACGAGUCAAUGUGGAGGCUAUAUACAGGGGGUACCGGUACAGAGUCAAUGUGGAGGCUAUAUACAGGGGGUACCGGUACAGAGUCAAUGUGGAGGCUAUAUACAGGGGGUACCGGUACAGAGUCAAUGUGGAGGCUAUAUACAGGGGGUACCGGUACAGAGUCAAUGUGGAGGCUAUAUACAGGGGAUACCGGUACAGAGUCAAUGUGGAGGCUAUAUACAGGGGGUACCGGUACAGAGUCAAUGUGGAGGCUAUAUACAGGGGGUACCGGUACAGAGUCAAUGUGGAGGCUAUAUACAGGGGGUACCGGUACAGAGUCAAUGUGGAGGCUAUAUACAGGGGGUACCGGUACAGAGUCAAUGUGGAGGCUAUAUACAGGGGGGUACCGGUACAGAGUCAAUGUGGAGGCUAUAUACAGGGGGUACCGGUACAGAGUCAAUGUGGAGGCUAUACAGGGGGUACCGGUACAGAGUCAAUGUGGAGGCUAUAUACAGGGGGUACCGGUACAGAGUCAAUGUGGAGGCUAUAUACAGGGGGUACCGGUACAGAGUCAAUGUGGAGGCUAUAUACAGGGGGUACCGGUACAAAGUCAAUGUGGAGGCUAUAUACAGGGGGUACCGGUACAGAGUCAAUGUGGAGGCUAUAUACAGGGGGUACCGGUACAAAGUCAAUGUGGAGGCUAUAUACAGGGGGGUACCGGUACAGAGUCAAUGUGGAGGCUAUAUACAGGGGGUACCGGUACAGAGUCAAUGUGGAGGCUAUAUACAGGGGGUACCGGUACAUUGUCAAUAUGGAGGCUAUAUACAGGGGGUACCGGUACAGAGUCAACGUUGAGGCUAUAUACAGGGGGUACCGGUACAGAGUCAACGUGUCAAGGUAAUUGA
Long non-coding RNA from Oncorhynchus kisutch (coho salmon), 1668 nucleotides. Lineage: Eukaryota; Metazoa; Chordata; Actinopteri; Salmoniformes; Salmonidae. The record is from Ensembl.